Molecule: ribosomal RNA, 381 nt
Filed under: uncultured organism
Description: bacterial SSU rRNA
Rfam family: Bacterial small subunit ribosomal RNA
Source: RNAcentral
CGCAAUGGGCGAAAGCCUGACGGAGCAAUACCGCGUGAGGGAUGACUGCCUAUGGGUUGUAAACCUCUUUUUUCAGGGAGGAAUAAAUGACGUGUACCUGAAGAAUCAGCAUCGGCUAACUCCGUGCCAGCAGCCGCGGUAAGACGGAGGAUGCAAGUGUUAUCCGGAAUCACUGGGCGUAAAGCGUCUGUAGGUGGCUCGACAAGUCAACUGUUAAAUCUUGAAGCUCAACUUCAAAAUCGCAGUCGAAACUAUCGGACUAGAGUAUAGUAGAGGUAAAGGGAAUUUCCAGUGGAGCGGUGAAAUGCGUAGAGAUUGGAAAGAACACCGAUGGCGAAGGCACUUUACUGGGCUAUUACUGACACUCGGAGACGAAAGCUA